Molecule: ribosomal RNA, 538 nt
Filed under: Sphenomorphus simus
Lineage: Eukaryota; Metazoa; Chordata; Lepidosauria; Squamata; Scincidae
Description: partial 16S ribosomal RNA
Rfam family: Bacterial large subunit ribosomal RNA
Source: RNAcentral
AGUAUUAAAGGUCCUGCCUGCCCAGUGAAACAUUUUUUAACGGCCGCGGUAUUCUAACCGUGCAAAGGUAGCGUAAUCACUUGUCUUCUAAAUAAAGACUAGUAUGAACGGCUAAAUGAGGACAAGCCUGUCUCUUAUGCCCCAUCAGUGAAAUUGAUCUUCCUGUCCAAAAGCCGGGAUACCAACAUAAGACGAGAAGACCCUGUGGAGCUUAAAACAAACCAUCAACAAUAGUCAAUAACUAACAUGAUAAUGAGUUUUGAGUUGGGGCGACUUCGGAAAAAAACAAAACUUCCGAGCACAGAACCAUCACUUCAAACAAGGCCAACAAGCCAAAAAACUUGACCCAGUCACACUGAUCAACGAACCAAGUUACCCCAGGGAUAACAGCGCUAUCUUCUUCAAGAGUCCAUAUCGACAAGAAGGUUUACGACCUCGAUGUUGGAUCAGGACACCCCAAUGGUGCAGCCGCUAUUAAAGGUUCGUUUGUUCAACGAUUAACAGUCCUACGUGAUCUGAGUUCAGACCGGAGCAAUCC